UCCCUGUGCAGAAAUCAGCAUCACCACUGUUAUCAUAGGACUGACAGUAAUAGUCCGCCUCGUCCUCAGCCUGGGCCCCAGUGAUGGUCAGAGUGGCUGCAUCCCCCGAGCUGGAGCCAGAGAAUCUGUCAGGAAUCCCUGUGGGCUUCUCACUAUCCUCAAAUGACCAACACAGGGGCUUGGCCUGGCUUCUGCCGGUACCAAUGUGUAUAAUACCCCUCCAGUCCAGAGCAGGUCACUGUAACCGG
This is a long non-coding RNA of Prionailurus viverrinus (fishing cat), 248 nucleotides long. RefSeq lists it as uncharacterized. The record is from RefSeq and is a predicted model, not a curated record. Lineage: Eukaryota; Metazoa; Chordata; Mammalia; Carnivora; Felidae. The transcript is spliced from 3 exons.